GUGAGAAAGAAGUACCCUGGAGCUGGUCCUUUCCGUUCUGCCGCCCUAGGGGAAACCAAAAAAUGCUGCCCCCUGCAAAACUAGAAUAAUCCCCGAUGUUGAAAAGGCGUGUUUUCUGGACGUUGAAAAAUAUGUAUUUUCCGGACGUUGAAUUCAGCGAUGAGUCUCUCCAACAGCACCCUGGAGAGGCACGCUGGGAAUGAGGAAGCAAAAUAUUGUUCGCCCCUACCUUUGACAAAGUGGGCACUGCUUAUCACAGGGUGGAAUCAGCGAUCACCUAAAUAUCCCACUGGUUGAGAGAAAUUGUCAUUGUUUUGGGGCAGAAUUAUGUGAGGUUUUAUGUAUUGUUGCCGCCCUCGUCAAUCUAGCCUAAUCCCGCCUAAUGAGCGGGCAGAUGGCUGUGCGCUGGAGGCGGGGGACACGAAGGGUAAUAUUUCGAUAAUGAUAGCUAUUUUAUCUUCUUUUAAACUGAGUCCCAGCCACAAUCACCUCAUAACCUGUCUGUCAUUGAGCCAUCUUCUGCCACAGGACAGAAAUGACAAAUAAAAGUCACCCAGCUAAUUGUAAACAGAUGGUCCCCAUGCUGACACAGGUUUACCACAGAGACCUACUGCACAUUUUAGUAAUGACGGGUCAUCUCUCUACAUCCUAUUGACUUUAGAGGAACUCAGCCCUUUCCAUUGUAGAUACCCAGUCUAACCCCAAAGUCUGCCCGCUCUACCUCACGCCUAACCUAGCCUACCUACAGUACAUAACCACUAUCUGCCCCCCCCCCCUUCCCCCACAACAAAUGAAAAACAAAACUACGACACAUUCUGUGAAAACAUGUUUCUACCUGCUCUAGUUAAUCUUUUGCUUGUAGGCCUAUAAUGUAAUAUAUAUUUAUGGAAAUAUUGCUGUAAUUUUCUGAUGGAAAUGCAAAUAAAAUGUUUGUAUAAUUUAGAACUUGUGUAGAUCAAUGUAAAUGGGAUUUACCUGUAUAAAUA
Oncorhynchus tshawytscha (Chinook salmon) is the source of this 986-nucleotide long non-coding RNA. The record is from Ensembl. Lineage: Eukaryota; Metazoa; Chordata; Actinopteri; Salmoniformes; Salmonidae.